Molecule: ribosomal RNA, 373 nt
Filed under: uncultured bacterium
Lineage: Bacteria
Description: bacterial SSU rRNA
Rfam family: Bacterial small subunit ribosomal RNA
Source: RNAcentral
ACGUAGGUGGCAAGCGUUGUCCGGAUUUACUGGGCGUAAAGAGCGCGCAGGCGGUCGGAUAAGUCGCGUGUGAAGGCCCCCGGCUCAACUGGGGAGGGUCACGCGAUACUGUUCGACUCGAAGGCAGGAGAGGGUAGUGGAAUUCCCGGUGUAGUGGUGAAAUGCGUAGAUAUCGGGAGGAACACCAGUGGCGAAGGCGACUACCUGGCCUGUUCUUGACGCUGAGGCGCGAAAGCUAGGGGAGCAAACGGGAUUAGAUACCCCGGUAGUCCUAGCCGUAAACGAUGGACACUAGGUGUUGGUGGUAUCAACCCCGCCAGUGCCGAAGCUAACGCAUUAAGUGUCCCGCCUGGGGAGUACGGCCGCAAGGCUA